GACGAACGCUGGCGGCGUGCUUAACACAUGCAAGUCGAACGGAAAGGCCCUGCUUUUGUGGGGUGCUCGAGUGGCGAACGGGUGAGUAACACGUGAGUAACCUGCCCUUGACUUUGGGAGAACUUCAGGAAACUGGGGCUAAUACCGGAUAGGAUCUCCUGCUGCAUGGUGGGGGUUGGAAAGUUUCGGCGGUUGGGGAUGGACUCGCGGCUUAUGAGCUUGUUUGUGUGGUAGUGGCUGACCAAGGCUUUGAGGGGUAGCCGGCCUGAGAGGGUUACCGGCGACAUGAGGACUGAGGGACGGAGCAGACGGCUACGGGCGGCAGCAGGGGGGAAUAUUGCGGAGUGGGGGGAAGCCAGAUGCGACAGCGCCCGGUGCGGGAUAACCGCCUUUGGGUUGUAAACAGCUUUGUCCGGUGCCGAGGAGUGCGUGACGGUAACUGGUAAGGAAGCAACGGCUAACUACGUG
RNAcentral lists this ribosomal RNA (468 nucleotides) under uncultured bacterium. Its description in RNAcentral is "partial 16S ribosomal RNA". It matches the Rfam family "Bacterial small subunit ribosomal RNA", at positions 28 to 507 of the family's 1533-position model. The record is from RNAcentral.